GCUUAUUGCCUUUCCGUAUCAUUUUUUGUUGGACGAGGGUAAGGUUAAUCUUUAACUGGUAAAUUUUCCAUCUUUUCUUUUUCCUCUUUCUCUUUAUAUUUUUUAUUUUUUCCUUCUCCUAUUUUUAUUUAUAUUCUUUUUCUUCUUCCUUCUUCUCUUUUUCUUUUUCUCUUUUUCUUUUUUCCCUUCUUUUUCAUUUUCC
This 202-nucleotide long non-coding RNA is filed under the name Lathyrus oleraceus (garden pea). RNAcentral describes it as "Pisum sativum (pea) long non-coding RNA (PSAT_LNC028855)". The record is from RNAcentral. Lineage: Eukaryota; Viridiplantae; Streptophyta; Magnoliopsida; Fabales; Fabaceae.